CCCUUUGAGGGGAUGAACGCUAGCGGCAGGCUUCAUACAUGCAAGUCGAGGGGCAGCGAAGAUUGCUUGCAAUCUGUCUGCGACCGGCGCACGGGUGCGUAACGCGUAUGCAACCUACCUUGUACAGGGGGAUAGCCCGGAGAAAUUCGGAUUAAUACCCCAUAGUAUCAUAAUGACACAUGUUAUAAUGAUUAAAGUUUCGGCGGUACAAGAUGGGCAUGCGUCCUAUUAGAUAGUUGGUAAGGUAACGGCUUACCAAGUCAGCGAUAGGUAGGGGGCCUGAGAGGGUGGUCCCCCACACUGGUACUGAGACACGGACCAGACUCCUACGGGAGGCAGCAGUGAGGAAUAUUGGUCAAUGGACGCAAGUCUGAACCAGCCAUGCCGCGUGCAGGAAGAAUGCCCUAUGGGUUGUAAACUGCUUUUAUUUAGGAAGAAUACCCCUUACGUGUAAGGGAUUGACGGUACUAAAUGAUAAGGGACGGCUAACUCCUGGCAAGCAG
This 503-nucleotide ribosomal RNA is filed under the name uncultured bacterium. Its description in RNAcentral is "bacterial SSU rRNA". It matches the Rfam family "Bacterial small subunit ribosomal RNA", at positions 27 to 514 of the family's 1533-position model. The record is from RNAcentral.